AGUAACAUAUUAAAAUGAUUUUGAAAGUCAUUACCAGGUGGUUAAUCUCACCAUGUUACUU
This 61-nucleotide transfer RNA is filed under the name Perinereis linea. RNAcentral's name for it is "tRNA-Ser". Lineage: Eukaryota; Metazoa; Annelida; Polychaeta; Phyllodocida; Nereididae. The record is from RNAcentral.